GAGAUAGAGAUAGAGAGAGACAGAGAGUGACAGAGGAAGUUGUUGGGUAUAACAGAAAGAGGAGAGAGGCGUCUGUCUGCUCAGCUACACUGCCAUAUGGUAUCAAUAGAAGAAGAGCUGUGGAGAGACCUUUGAACAACCCCUUCAUUUACAGAUGAGAAAACUUGUUUUAACAUUUACUAGCACACCACUGGGACCUGAUUUCCUCCUAAGGUGGAAUGGGGAUCGUGGAUCAGUGUAUUUCAGCAGAUGAAGAAACCAGCUCCCACAGAGGGUAGGAACUUGCCCAAGGUCCCACAGAAGCUAAACAGAAGGACAGACCAAGCGGAGCCCAGGACAAAGAUGGCUCCAGAAGUCAGGACCACCAUCUUUCAUUCAAGCCUCUCCUACCCCACCAGGAGAUAAGCCCAUUGGGUAUGGCUGCUUUGUGAGCUGAACCAGGGGAUAGAGAUACCACGACCCCACAUUCAAGCCUUUCCCAUCCCACCCCUCAUUUAAGCUUUCCCCACCCCCAAAGGGAACUUUCCAUAAUCAGGUGGUCACCCCAUCUAUCCUCCCACCAUCUAUCCUCUAUAAAGGCUUUGGCCUCCCUUCCUGUCAAGGAGAAAGUUGACUCAGAGAAUCCGGUCUCUAAGCCAUUUUUACCCCUUGAGGCUGAAGUCUUUGACUUCCCUCUCAUUCACUUUCUCUUAAGAGCCUA
This is a long non-coding RNA of Dromiciops gliroides (monito del monte), 700 nucleotides long. RefSeq lists it as uncharacterized. Lineage: Eukaryota; Metazoa; Chordata; Mammalia; Microbiotheria; Microbiotheriidae. The record is from RefSeq and is a predicted model, not a curated record. The transcript has 4 exons.